UACGUAGGGUGCAAGCGUUGUCCGGAAUUAUUGGGCGUAAAGAGCUCGUAGGCGGUUUGUCGCGUCGAAUGUGAAAACCCGGGGCUCAACCCCGGGCCUGCAUUCGAUACGGGCAGACUAGAGUUCGGUAGGGGAGUCUGGAAUUCCUGGUGUAGCGGUGAAAUGCGCAGAUAUCAGGAGGAACACCGGUGGCGAAGGCGGGACUCUGGGCCGGAACUGACGCUGAGGAGCGAAAGCGUGGGGAGCAAACAGG
This 253-nucleotide ribosomal RNA is filed under the name uncultured bacterium. RNAcentral describes it as "partial 16S ribosomal RNA". It matches the Rfam family "Bacterial small subunit ribosomal RNA", at positions 524 to 776 of the family's 1533-position model. The record is from RNAcentral.